RNAcentral lists this long non-coding RNA (1863 nucleotides) under Betta splendens (Siamese fighting fish). Its description in RNAcentral is "lncRNA (ENSBSLG00000011065.1)". Lineage: Eukaryota; Metazoa; Chordata; Actinopteri; Anabantiformes; Osphronemidae. The record is from RNAcentral.
CUCAUUAACGAUUGGUUAGUAUUCAGAACCACAAACUUUCUAAUCAAUCUUGCCAUUAAAGGUAAUUAAAUUGUAAUUGGUGCUUUUAUUUUGAAAGGAUUUAGAGGAAAUGUGUGGGGGCAAUAGCGUAACUGUCAAUUAGUCUUUAAAUAAUCAUAAUUACCCAUUUAAAGGCAAAACAGUGCAGUUAAAGCUAAUAAAUGGCAUUGGUGCUUUUAUUUUGAAAGGAUGUAGAGGAAGCAUGUGUGGGUAAUUACUAAACUGUUAAUCUAUCUUUAAAUAGUCAUAAUUACCCAUCUAAAAGUAGAAAUAUUGCUAUUAAAGCUAAUUAUUUGGCUUGGUGCUUUUACUUUGAAAGGAUUAAGAGGAAGUGUGUGCUUAAUUACUACACAAUCCAAUAGUGUAGUUGAGUAAUCAAUAAUAAGCAUGGAACUGCUCUGUACACAGAGCAUCAGCAGUUUUGACCUGUCAGUCAAAUCUGCAGCUGCGCCGUCGCCAUGGAGACAAAAGGCGGGAAAAUCAGGCUCACUCUGCUCUGUGAAAGCAGAGUUUCACCCUGUAUAAAUAGGCUUGUUUCAGCUAAACCAUGAUAGUUAUCACAAAAAUUAUUUCAUUUUACGAGUCCCAAGGCUUCAAUGAGCAAAUGGUGUGAAUUUUAUGUUUAAGGACAAAACCACAGUGGCAAUUUCAAAAUAUGUCUCCUCUGUUUUUCUCCUCAGACGUCUGCCAAAAAUUAUCAUUAGAGUCAAUGGGAGAAUUUCAGGAUCUCUCUGCACUUUGAGGUCCAUAGCGACUAAAGUAUAGGUCUGAGGGUAUAUCCAGACACAUCAUUAGAAAGAAGACAAGUAUGACUACGAUUUAGUGAAGUAAUUACGUUGAUAGAGUAAAAAAUUGUGGCUGUAGUGACGAGUUAGAGACAGAAGUUCUGUCUUAAAAAAGCGCACCUUCUCACUGUAGCUGUGACAUCACGCACUCUAACUGACCCAACACACACUAAUGGAAAAGCUGAAAAUUUAACAAAAACCACACACGAUAUUUAAACGCUCACAAGUUGAAAACUAUAAAAGAUACGAGGACGCUGAUUUACACGGAGAACGAUGAAAGAUGAUAGAUGCUUUUGACGUUAAAAUGACGUUUCUACGCCAAAGUAUGACGAUGAUAGACGCUGAUGAAAAGAGGGAAGUUGACAGAAAGUUGAACGAUGAUUCCCAUAGACGACCAUUAUAAAAAAACGACGAAAAACGUUGAAUAACGUUAAAAGUUUAAAAGCUGAAAACGUGAAAAGUAAUAGCCUGCAUCGUCUAACGAUGACGCACGUUUAGAACGUUGAACGAUGAUUCUACGAUGAAGCGUUGAGAAGUAGAUAGCGACCGAAAAACGGGGCGAAAUAAUAAGAAUAAUAAUAAUAACUAGAAAAAGUAAUUUCUCGAGAAAUUACGUGGGAGAGCUGAUCUGCUGCCGCAACGAUGACAAACGCUGAUAAAGCUGCUGACGUCAAAAAGUUGACUACGGCAAAGCGAUGAAAACGAGAAAACGUUGACAAAGAUUAAAACGAUGACAAAAGAUGGCGAUUAAAAAGAUGAUGAUUAAAAAGAUGACCAAGGUCAUACUAUGACAAUAUUAAGAGAUGACAAUGAUUCAAAAGUUGACCAAGGUUAAAAGAUGUCAAAGAUUAAAAGGUUGACCAAUGUGCAUUGUUGACAAUCAUAAAUAAGCUGACUAUCUUUUUGAUUUGAAGAAAGUAUUUGUAAAUAUUACCUAACUGUGUAAUAUUUUAAUAACUAGUAGAAAUUUACCAGUCAGAAACAAAAAUCUUGCCAUUUAGGUAAUAAAUUACAUUGGUGCUUUUAUUCUGAAAGGAUU